RNAcentral lists this ribosomal RNA (1456 nucleotides) under Pongo abelii (Sumatran orangutan). RNAcentral's name for it is "Bacterial large subunit ribosomal RNA". It matches the Rfam family "Bacterial large subunit ribosomal RNA", at positions 491 to 2721 of the family's 2925-position model. The record is from Rfam by way of RNAcentral. Lineage: Eukaryota; Metazoa; Chordata; Mammalia; Primates; Hominidae.
AGACAUAGUACCAUAAAGGAACGAUGAAAGAACUGAAUCAAGCAUUAAAAGCAAAGACAAACCCUUAUACCUUCUGCAUAAUGUAUUAACUAGAAAUAACUUUACACAGAGACCCAUAGCCAAGUCCCCCGAAACCAGACGAGCUACCCAAGAACAGCUGAAGAGCACACCCACCUAUGUGGCAAAAUAGUGGGGAGAUUCAUGAGUAGCAGUGACAAACCUACCGAGCCUGGUGAUAGCUGGUUGUCCAAGAUAGAAUCUUAGACAACUCCCUAUACCAGAUCCUCUAAUUAAUUUUAAUACAGGCCUCCUAUUUAUACUAGCCACAUGAAGCCUAGCCGUCUACUUACCCACAGAAUUACUUAGUCCCCCUGUAAGUUUAACUGCUAAAGAGGGACAGAUCUUUAGACCCUAGGAAAUAACCUUCCUCCAGAGAGUAAAAAUUAUUACCACCACAGUUGGCCCAAAAGCAGCCACCAAUUAAGAAAGCGUUCAAGCUCAACAUCUAACUAUUUUAAAUCCUAAUCACUCUACUGAACUCUUAACAUUACAUUGGACUAAUCUAUUACUUCAUAGAAGCAAUAAUGUUAAUAUAAGUAACAUGAAGAUAUCCUCCAUCACAUAAGCUUACAUCAGACCAGAAUAACCCACUGACAGUUAACAAACUAAUAUUAAUAAGUGAUAUAAUAAGCACCCUAUUAUUUAUACUGUUAAUCCAACACAGGUAUUUUUGAAGGAAAGGUUACAAAAAGUAAAAGGAACUCAGCAAAUCUUACCCUGCCUGUUUACCAAAAACAUCACCUCUAGCAUUACCAGUAUUAGACAUAUGCCCAGUGACAUAUGUUCAACGGCCGUGGUAUCCUGACUGUGCAAAGGUAGCAUAAGCACUUGUUCUCUAAAUAGGGACUUGUAUAAAUGGCCACAUGAGGCUUCAGCUGUCUCUUACUUUUAAUCAGUGAAACUGACCUAUCCAGCGGGAUAUAAACAAGAUGAGAAGACCCUAUGGAGCUUUAAUUCAUUAAUGCAAAUAGAAACUCGCCCUAACCCAUUACCACUGCAUUAAAAAUUUUGGCUGGGGUGACCUUGGAGCAUAAUUUAACCUCAAAACAACCUAAACUAAGAUGGCACUAGUCUAAGCGAGUUAACAUAUAUUGACCCCAUAAUUUAACUGAACAAGUUACCCUACGGAUAACAGCUAAUCCUAUUCUAGAGUCCAUAUAGACAACAGGGUUUACGACCUCGAUGUUGGAUCAGGACAUCCUAAUGGUGUAGCUGCUAUUAAGGGUUUAUUUGUUCAACAAUUAAAGUCCUACGUGAUCUGAGUUCAGACUGGAGUAAUCCAGGUCGGUUUCUAUCUAUUUAAUAUUUCUGCUAGUACGAAAGGACAAGAGAAAUAGGGCCCACUUCGAGGAAGUGUGGGGAAAGGAAGGAGAGAUCAGAUUGUUGCUGUGUCUGU